AAUCAUACAGUGUCCCUAGGAGGAACAUGUCUUGUCAUCCCCGCACUGGGGAGGCUGAGGCAGGAGGAU
RNAcentral lists this microRNA precursor (69 nucleotides) under Chinchilla lanigera (long-tailed chinchilla). RNAcentral describes it as "miRNA (ENSCLAG00000021253.1)". The record is from RNAcentral. Lineage: Eukaryota; Metazoa; Chordata; Mammalia; Rodentia; Chinchillidae.